AUAGCAAGCACCGCAAGGUUUUCUGUCACUAAGACAGAGCAGACUUCAGCGUUGUGCAAUGUGGAACGUGCAGUGUGCAACGCUACUGGCAACGCCAGACUUUGCUAACCGUCGGUGAAGACACCGGC
Regulatory RNA element from Pseudomonas sp. M30-35, 128 nucleotides. It matches the Rfam family "Pseudomon-groES RNA". Lineage: Bacteria; Pseudomonadati; Pseudomonadota; Gammaproteobacteria; Pseudomonadales; Pseudomonadaceae. The record is from Rfam.